UGUGUAAUGCUUUCCUGUGGU
RNAcentral lists this non-coding RNA (21 nucleotides) under Arabidopsis thaliana (thale cress). The record is from RNAcentral. Lineage: Eukaryota; Viridiplantae; Streptophyta; Magnoliopsida; Brassicales; Brassicaceae.